Molecule: ribosomal RNA, 465 nt
Filed under: uncultured bacterium
Lineage: Bacteria
Description: partial 16S ribosomal RNA
Rfam family: Bacterial small subunit ribosomal RNA
Source: RNAcentral
GACGAACGCUGGCGGCGUGCUUAACACAUGCAAGUCGAACGGAAAGGCCCUGCUUGCCGGGUACUCGAGUGGCGAACGGGUGAGUAACACGUGGGUGAUCUGCCCUGCACUUCGGGAUAAGCCUGGGAAACUGGGUCUAAUACCGGAUAGGAGCCAUUUUUAGUGUGAUGGUUGGAAAGUUUUUUCGGUGUAGGAUGAGCUCGCGGCCUAUCAGCUUGUUGGUGGGGUAAUGGCCUACCAAGGCGGCGACGGGUAGCCGGCCUGAGAGGGUGGACGGCCACAUUGGGACUGAGAUACGGCCCAGACUCCUACGGGAGGCAGCAGUGGGGAAUAUUGCACAAUGGGCGCAAGCCGGGUGCAGCGACGCCGCGUGGGGGAUGACGGCCUUCGGGUUGUAAACUCCUUUCGCUAGGGACGAAGCUUUUUGUGACGGUACCUAGAUAAGAAGCACCGGCUAACUACGUG